RNAcentral lists this long non-coding RNA (13916 nucleotides) under Musa acuminata (dwarf banana). RNAcentral's name for it is "long non-coding RNA (MACU_LNC000295)". Lineage: Eukaryota; Viridiplantae; Streptophyta; Magnoliopsida; Zingiberales; Musaceae. The record is from RNAcentral.
GGCCAUGUCUUGGUGUCAUCGAGCGGGUCGAAGUCGUAGCGGUCCUCGGUAUCCGGAUCCAUGACUUGAACGAAGAGCUUCCACUCCGGGUAGUUUCCGGCGGCAAUGGAGUCGUACAGAUCCUGGGUGGCGUGGCUGUGGUUCUUGCCGCCCACCACGAUCGCUUCGUCUUCCAGCAAGCACUUGACUCCACACGUGGGCUUCCAGUGGAACUUCACGUAGUUGACCUUCCCUUCCUUGUUGACGAAGGUGUAGGUGUUGACGCCGAAGCCUUCCAUGUGGCGGUAGUCGGACGGGACGCCCACGUCGUCGAAGAGGAAGAAGAAGGUGUGGAGGCUCUCGGGGUGGUGCGAGAGGAAGUCGAACACCCUCCAGUACUCCUGGACGUGGGACUUGGGGUUUGGCUUGAAGGCGUGGAUCACGUCCGGGAACUUGAUGCCGUCGCGGAUGAAGAACACGGGGAAGUUGUUCCCCAGCAGAUCCCAGUUGCCCUGACGCCAUGAGACAAUCGGUGAGACCUUGGGGAGACGAGCACGAAUACUUCGGCGCAAGGGUGGAUCACAGUAGAUACCUCUCGGGUGUAGAACUUGACGGCGAACCCGCGGGGGUCUCUGAUGGUUUCAGGGCUGCCACGCUCGUGGAUGACGGUGGAGAAGCGGAGGAUGAUCGGCGUCUGGACGCCGGGCGCCCGGAGGAAGUCGGCGCAGGUGAGGUGAGUGACAUCAUGAGUGCACUCGAAGAAGCCCUUGGCGCUCGCGCCUCGGGCAUGGACGACGCGCUCCGGUAUGCGCUCCCGGGCGAAGUGAGCGAUCUUUUCGACCAGAUGGUAGUCCUCAAGGAGGAUGGGUCCUGAGAGCAACGAUAAGCUUUCAGCAGCUCACAUGAUUAAGGAUGGCUUUCCCUUCGACACCAUUCCCAUACCUCUGGAUCCCACGGUGAGGGCCUGGUCAUCGUUCCAUACGGGCGCACCAGCGUUGGUGGUGGUAAAGUUGGUGUCGAAGGAGCUCGAGGGACGGAACUAUAAACAAUAAAAAGAGAAUAUAAAUCAGAGUUCGGAAUACAUAUUACAUACUUAAAGCGUUUCGAUAUCGCGUUAGAUCUCCGGCAGAUUUCCUCCCGAGGGUACGGCUUAGCUGUCUCCACCGGCGCAGCGAGCUACAUGGAUGGUGCAGCCAUUGGUUCAAACAAGAGGGACCCACAAUCCGCUCCGGCUAUCCGCUUUCAGUGUGAUUGUGGGGCCCCUGUUUGGACCAACGAGCUGCAGGAUCGGAGCAACAUCCUGCCUCGGUGGAUACAGCUGCGCUACACCAUCACAUGAGAUCUACCGAUAACUACGUGCAACAUGAGUUAAUACGUAUGAGCAGAGAAGUGUUGCCACGGACUGCGAAUGGCUGCAGGAGCGAAGGAAGAGAGCUUCAUACCUUGUAAGGAUCCAUGACCUCUGAGGAGGAGAGGGAAGCACGAGAGAGCAGUUUGGGGGUGCUUAUUGCUGCUCCCACCCCUCUCCAAGGUCUCUUAAAUAGAGAGAGAGUUGCUUCUCCUCACCUCCCCGGUCAGACCACUCGCCUGGGUCUUGCCAGCGCAGCUGGGACACAACAGGUGAUGUCGAUCCAGACUUAUCAGGAGUUCGAUCUUACCCCUCCAAUCGUCCUUUUAAUUAGAAUCCUACAAUUCCCAUCUGACGAGAGGUAACGGUGGUUAAGAAGAGUUGAAGGUGGGCUUAGAGAGAGAGAGAGAAGAAGAGAUGUUUAGAAAAUAUUAUGAAUGAGAAUUGACGAGGAUAGUAAUUAUGAUAAGACCCGGCCGACGUCAGCCGACGCCUCACGUCUCGAUCGACGCAACUACGCUCAGUCAAUCGAACCGAAACAUCGGUCGAGGCGUAUUAACGCCUACUCAGGCGUGAUUCUUCAUGCCACGCCAGCGCCCAUGUCAGACGCUAUCAGCCUGCCUCCUACAGGCCGGCACAUCAAACAGCAGUAAGUUUCCCUAUAAAUAUCCUCUCGUUCAUCAUAGAAAAAAGGGGGAGUGACAUGUACAAACACUUCUUCUCCUGAAACCCCCUCCACGUCUUCUAACUUGAUUGUCGGAGGGGUCGGGCCGAGCGCUCCGGCCCGACCUUUGUGCAGGUGCGAAGCCGAGGGUCCCCGUCGGACGCGCGGACGAGGAGUUCCCGCCCGGAGGACACGGCGACCUCGUCCCGACCGGACCGACCCCACGGGCUCGAGGUACGCCCCUGGGAGAUCCCCAUCGUCCGGACUCGAACCGAGCUACGUUAGCCCCGAGGCCACGGUUCCAGGCUGUUUCCCACGACAAGAAUAAAUGGGAAAAAAAAGUCUAAUGUAACUAACAAUAAAACGAAUAUAAUCACAUAUAUUAACAAAAAUAUAUGAAGUUAUUAAACCGAACAAGUAGACAGUCGCCAUAAAUGGUGUCGAUCGGUGAUCUGAAGCCCCAUAAAAGAUAGGAACGAGCAGUGUGUCUGACACAGGUCCAGCAGCCCUACAAAGGAUAAGAUAGAGAGAGAAUGCAUCGUCGUUCCACUCGUCAGCAUGCAUUGCAGUGCUGUGGGUGGAGUCCUCCUGUGGCUCCAAAUGUUGACAGCGAAGUUACUGGGAGAAGAGGACAAAGGAGAGAAUUGUUGACGUAUGAAUGCAGGGAACAUGGACUGGAUGUUGAAAUUUUCAACGCCCUACCACUGUUUCUAAGAUCAUUUUCUAGAAAUGGGACGAUCAAAAAGUAAUUUAUUAUUAGAAUAAAAAUACGACCAUUGUUUCUAGAAAUGGUGGUAGGACUGAGCUUGAUUUGAUCUCACACCCACCCCAUCACCCACCGGAAAUAAGACAGCUUGUCAUCGUUGCUAUUCGAUUUUUUAAAGAUAAUUUUAAAUUUAAAAUAAAUGAGGAAAAGUAAGAUCUUAUGAUAAAUUAUUAAAUUUUUAUUGAUUAAAUUAAUUAAUAUUAUCAUCCUUUUAAUAAGUGAAAUUUAAUUUUUGAGGUAAAUUUACUAACUAAAGGAUGUAUUAAAAAUAUCAUAAUUUAAAAUUUAAAAAGGUUUAAUUUUAGUUGGGUGGUAUGUCAUGAUCUCAUUAUAUGCAAGUUAAUGAUAAUAAAUUUAUUUAAUUAUUAUAAGUCUUCUCCUACUUGAUAAAUAAGAUUAAAUCGAAACGCUGUAAUACUCUUAUAUUCUUAAGGAUUUGUUAAAGAUCAAACUUUAGUAUUGUGAUCUAUAUCAUGACAUACGCUCUGAUACUUUUACAUAAAUUCUUUCAUCAUAAUUAUAUUUGAACUUUUACAUCAUUUAUCAUGAUUUGAUCCGAUGAAAUAAUUGAUUAAACUAUUUUACCUUAAUGAUAAUAGACUCAUUUAAAUUUUAAUAUCAUUGUUUUUAGGUUUCAAUAUUUUUAAGUCAUUCUGAUAGGAUAUUAAGAUCUAUUUUUUUAUCGAAAUUAAAAAGAAAGAGGGAGAACCAAUAAAAAUUUAAUCUUUUCGAUUCAUCACUGAAACUAAAUAUCACAUUCAAAAAACAAAUUUAUCCAACUCUUAAAAAAUCUUACGUGAUAAUAUUGCAUCCCAUUAUCAUUGAUAGAGUGCAUAGAUUCUGUUGAUAUUUGGAUUAUACAUAAGUUUAGCUUUUAUUUCCUAAAUAAAUAAAUAAUAAAUGAUAAAGCCAAUCUACACAACCAAUCAAGCAAGCAAGCUGUAUAGUGUCUCGUGAGCCCAAGUGGGGCCCUCGCGUAUCUUUCUCUUAUCGCCACCAGAUUGCGUUGUCGGUAAUGUCUCAUCUCAAUUAUUGGGGUAGAGCUGUGCCAUAUUGGAGGAGGACAGAGUGUUGAGAUGUUACAUGUAAUGCAUGUCCUUAACCGUGGUAGAUUGCAUCAAAAUCUACCUUGGCGUGCGAAGAUAAAACGAUAAGGACAAUUCUCCGGCUUUCGUUCUCUGACAAGAGUAGAUAAGCUAAAUCACUCUCCUCAAACCACACAACGCCAAGUAUGCGUCUCUAGAUGUGCUUCUUUUUUCUUCCAAGAAAUCAAGCAACGAUCCAUCUUGCAAGAACCAACUUUUGGCGUUUCCAAUGACUUUUCAAAAGCAUGAUAGCUUAACUUCCACUGUGUGUUCUAUAAAAUAAAGGAGGAAUCUUCCAUCACAUCAUCAUGAUAAUUCAUCAAACAGAUUAAUUAUAUAUUAUCUUACAUAAUUCAUUAUUUUUUAUAUUUUUAAAAUUUAUAUUAAAAUCCUUAUAUUUACGAAAGUAAAAUAUUUAAAUCCAUAUACAUAGUUAAAAAAAUAAUUUUAUAUAGUUAAACAAAUAAAUAACUAAUUAAAUAUUUUAUUUUUAUAAAUAUAAGAAUCUUAAUAGUAUAAUUAAUAUGUAGUUAGACUAAAUUCAUCUCAACUUAAUAACUCAUUAAUUUGAUUAGUUUGAACUAUACAAUCUAAAAUCUAAAAUGCUUAAGCAUAAAUUAAUGAUAGUAUUCUUAUAAGCCCAUUUGAACCUUUUCUUACAUUAAAAUUAAAUCAGAAUUCUCCAAAUGGCAAAACAAAAAUUAUAUAACAUAUAGUGAUGUCUUAAGUCUUCCUUGCAAUGUCUUCUUGUGAUCCUGAGAUCCUUCCAUCAGAACAAUAAAGAUGAGCCACACAAUCCCUUAUUCGCUAUGAGAUAUUUUGGGGAAAUCAUGAUGUAGUUCUGAUCCGUGGAAGCUCGACAACAACGUAGACAUCAUGCACAGUGGAAUCAUGUAGCAUGACACCAACCUCCACUUGUAUGGACCAACCUAACAUUUUGCAGCAAAUAAAUUAUGAGAAUCAUAAUGCAUGGGGCAGAUAUUUUUCUAGUGAGCUAACGAAAGACUCACUCAGACAUCAUAAAUUAAUCUUCACGAAAUAUUAGCCUGAUUUGAUGUGAUGUAUCUGACUCAUCUUCGCUUCAAAGUCGAAAAAUCUGAUCAUACAAAUUUUUCUUCUUCUUUGUUUUAAAAAUUAUAGGAAGUAAUAAUAAGUUUUAUUACCUCAACUAUGUUUAUGAUUAGCUAACAUAAAUUCUCAAAAUUUAUGAAAUUUUUGGGCCCUAUAGGUUUCGCUUGUUUACCUAAAUAAACUGUCUUAUAAAAUUAAUAAGGCUUAUAGUUAUAUGUUGAUAACACAAAAUUCUUGAUGAUCAUUUUCAUUUUAAUCAUACAAUAUAUAUUCUAUUAAUAAUAUCUUUAUUAGUUAUUCUAUCUACCUUAUUAAAUUACUGAUUUAAAGUACGUAAAACUUUUAAUUAUUAAAAUUAUAUGUUUAUCCGAUUUGAUUACAUCCUCAUUCAUAUUAUUUUUUAAAAUAUUUAAAUUGAUUAAUAUAUUAUUACACAAGUGAUGGGUCUGGAAUUCAUUCGAAUCAAUAUGUAAACAUCAUGUAUGAUAUUUGACGUAAUAAAAAAUUUUAAUUAAAAAAUUAUUUGCAUCAAACGUGUAGGGGAUAUCCUCUUUCGAAGAGGGUCGAGUGCAAUAAUCUCAUCCUUAUCUUGGCAUAUGCUAUUGUUGGUCAAUCACGAGUUCGUUGCUAUUGGCGAGUGAGUUCACUCUCGAGUCUCUUUCACUCUUCUUCUUCCCCCGUUGGUGUUGCAGACGAACGUAUGCACCUAUCCAAAUCUAAUGAGUGCAUGGAAAAUUAGAGCGGCAUUUGCUCCUUGGUCGUUGCAUGCUAUUGUCUAUUCUGUCUCGAUCCAGAUGUGGACAGCAGUUUCAUUUGAGUCUUCUUCGGUUUGCUCAUCUCGUGCUUAAGGAGGACACGACUUAACCUUUUAAUUUUUAGAUUGUAUUAAUCUUUGAUCAACAUAUAUACAUACAUAUAGACACGGCUGAGUAAACUAUCCAUAAGAUAAAAAGAUUAGAAUAAAGAGAAAAUAAACUUUAAAGUCUUAAUAAUAAAAACAAUAAAUUAAAUUUUAUUUCAUAUUAUUAAGGAUUAAAAGAACCCAAUAAUAACAUGUCUUAGAAUUAAUAAUUACUUUGCGACGAGUCAACUGUGAUGGGAUUGUAUAGAGAGUGAAAAGAUCAAUGGUGAGAAAAGUAUGGAUGGAGAACGAUUUGAUGCGAUUUCUGUAGAUCUUAGUAUCCCGAGGCCAAACGUUUCCCAAUGGCUACAAGAGUUAGGGUGGAAAAACAAGGGAGAAGCUUCCAAGAACUAAUGCCAUCAUUCUAAUCAACCAAAUAAUGGAAAACGAAUGGCAACUACAAAUGUCUCCCUGUCGCCAUCUAAAAGCUAUCAUCUGACCAUUUCUACCUUCCUAAUUAUUGAUGAUGACAUUUAGAUUCAUGUAAGGUUGUGUUAUUUAUAAAGUUUAAAUAUGUCCAAAUCUUAACUAUUUGUAUCAUAUACGAGUAAUUUUUAUAUUUAAAAUGUUAAUUUAAUGAUGAUAUAUUAGAUUCAUUUUAUACCGAUCAAAAGUUUAAAUUAUUAUUUAAUAAUUUUUUAACAUAAAAUAUUUUUCUAAUAAUGAUGUAUCAAACCCACCCACUUGAUAUAUUGGUACACCUAAAAUAUUGAUAUAAUAGUAAAAGUUUAAAACCUCAUUUGAAAAAUUUUCAAGAUGUCAAUUAGUUUAGUUAAUAAAAACUUUGACUAUAUAAUAAUUUAUUAACAUCAUAUUUCAUUUUCAUUAUUUAUCUUUUAUAAUAAAAAAAAUAAUAUAAUUGAUCUUAAUAAAUACACAUGUGUCUGAAUAGAUAUUAUUAAAACCAACAUAUGUGCUUAAAUAUUUCGAUACAUACCUUCAUCAUAGUAAAAAAAUAUUAUAUAUAUAUNNNNNNNNNNNNNNNNNNNNNNNNNNNNNNNNNNNNNNNNNNNNNNNNNNNNNNNNNNNNNNNNNNNNNNNNNNNNNNNNNNNNNNNNNNNNNNNNNNNNNNNNNNNNNNNNNNNNNNNNNNNNNNNNNNNNNNNNNNNNNNNNNNNNNNNNNNNNNNNNNNNNNNNNNNNNNNNNNNNNNNNNNNNNNNNNNNNNNNNNNNNNNNNNNNNNNNNNNNNNNNNNNNNNNNNNNNNNNNNNNNNNNNNNNNNNNNNNNNNNNNNNNNNNNNNNNNNNNNNNNNNNNNNNNNNNNNNNNNNNNNNNNNNNNNNNNNNNNNNNNNNNNNNNNNNNNNNNNNNNNNNNNNNNNNNNNNNNNNNNNNNNNNNNNNNNNNNNNNNNNNNNNNNNNNNNNNNNNNNNNNNNNNNNNNNNNNNNNNNNNNNNNNNNNNNNNNNNNNNNNNNNNNNNNNNNNNNNNNNNNNNNNNNNNNNNNNNNNNNNNNNNNNNNNNNNNNNNNNNNNNNNNNNNNNNNNNNNNNNNNNNNNNNNNNNNNNNNNNNNNNNNNNNNNNNNNNNNNNNNNNNNNNNNNNNNNNNNNNNNNNNNNNNNNNNNNNNNNNNNNNNNNNNNNNNNAUAUAUAUAUAUAUAUAUAUAUAUAUAUAUAUCCGAAUGCCUGUUUUUGAGGUUGUAAGUUUGAAUCAUCACUUUGCGACAUGUACUCCGACUGUCUUUAUGACAAUUCACUUGUCACUUCUCGAAGAUCCAACUCAUGAUAACACAAAAGGCAAGUUUAAGAUAUCGUUUACUAAUUCUCGGUCUGUAGGGAAUCACCGAUAGAUCAUCUCAAAUUAGCUGUCUGCAUUAACUUUAUGUCCCAUCCCAUCCCUUCACUUCCCUUUUAUUGAGAGAUCUAUACAGCGAGAAGGUGUUCAGUCGUUAGCUGAUGCGACUGCAUUAAUCAGUACUGCAAACAUUUAUAAGCAAUGAAAUGAGACGAAGAAGAAGACAAUUCAUUACAAAUCCACAAGGAACUCUUAAACUGAGCUAAUCCAUCCGCUAAUCUAUUGCCGGAGACUUCGUUGUUUAAUCUGCUUUUAUUUUUAGGUUCUAUAAUUAAACCAUCCAUACAAUAACUGGAUUACUCAGAAUUUAGAACCUUGAUUCUGAAGGGUAUUGUAAUAAUUCAACUUAAUUUCCUAUCGAGAGUGGAUUAAGUCUUAAAUAGAUUUACAAAAUAUCGAUCUAUGGAUGUAAGACUACUGUUAAUUUGAAUAUAAGUAUUUUGAACUCAUGAUUUAGUCUUAGUAAUAUUUUAGAUGUUGUUGGUAAACGAAGAUCAUCGACGGGUGAGUCGGUCCGAUUGAUUUAUUGUCAAAGGCACAGGUUCUUCUUAAUGACUCCUCAUUACUAAUUAGAGGAGCUAAUGUAGCAAGCCGAUGUAGAGAGAGCCCACUAGGGAGGUGGUUCGUUGGGAGCAACUUGACGGGAAGUUGGGUAGGAGAGCUGGAUUCUCUUAGUUGUUGAGUCGUCUCUUGGUCACGUCUUUAGAUGGUGCAAGGGGUCCUACACAAUUGGUUUACACUGGAAGUGUCCCGGCUCGACCCUAGUGGGUCUUUAGAUGCUUAAGUUGGCGAAAGACAAAGAGAGAGGAAGACAAUAGUAUGAACAAUGUAAAUGAGAGAAUAGAGGAUUUUUGCAUUUACAUACUCGUCUUGAUCUAGGGCUUAGCUUUUAUACCUAGGCGUCUAGUGGUUUGGACACAUGUUACCAAGCCUCUCUUACCUAUGGUGGAGGCAUUAAUGAGGGCGACUUACUUAUGUGUGUCCUCUGGCAUCUUGGGCAAAUCGUUGGGAUGCCUUUGCAUCGACUUUCUUACCGCUUUGGGUUAGAUAGGAAGUGGUCUCUCUAUCGGCUAUCCGAAAGGGAAGACCGGUGAAGCUUAGUCAUGUUGUCAAUCAUUAAUGCAAAGGCAUAGCUUCUACUGAGAUGUCAGCUAGGAGACGACUAGGGAAGCUAAGGCAUAUUGUCAAUCAUUAAUGCGGGGCAUGAUUUCUUUAGCUAUGGCAUCAAUAUAGAAUAUGUCUUACAUGCUCACUUUAGAAAGUAAGAACAAAUAGGGUAGAUCUCUGUUGGCUACUGGAGGGAGCUGAUAGUGCCAAGCUUUUUUCUAUUAUAUAUUGAUUAUUAAUUUUUAAUACCCAUGACAUCAAAUGAUUCUUUUUAAGUAAUAAAUUAUUUUUUUUAAAAAUAAUAAGAUAAUUUAGUUGGGGUUCCUAUUACAAAGUUUGUUUGAAAUGUGAAUUAACCCAAGAGUCAUGCUAUCUUUGGAAAAGUACUGUUGAGAGAAAAAAAGAGAGCGAUGCCACUUAAAUAUAUUGUUUUGGAUAUUAUCGACUUACUCGAAGACAAGAGAUAUAUCACUUCAAUCAUGCAAUUGUUGAUAAGGAAUAAAACUAGGAAAGAUGUAAUGUAAUUAAUUUUUGUCAUGUUAAUAGAAAUGCCAGUGUAUGAAUUAUCUAACCUCUAUAAAAGGAUAAUAAUUUAUACAAUUUUUAUUGUCUAAAAAUAUAUAUAAAUUAUUAAUUUAUUAUAAAAAUAUGAAAUUUUUUAUAGUUUUAAGCAAGGAUCAUUGUUUCAAGUAUUGGACUCGUUUCGAUGAUCUAAUUAGACUAAUAUAUCGGUUAAUAUUGAUGUACCAUGUAUCGAUAUAAUACUAUAUAUCGAUAUUUCGAAGAGAAUAAGAAAAGAAGGGAUAAGAGGAAUGGUGGGUGGAGGAAUAGGAAGAAGAAAGAAUGAGGAAGAGGAAGAUUAAGAUGGAAGAAAAGAAAAGAGAGUGGUGAAGGAGAAAAAAAAAAGGAAGAGAAGGAGGGGAAUAGGUGGGAGUGCAAGUAGGAAGAAGAAGGAAUACGAUGACAUUAGUAUCGUGAAGGAAUGUGGUGGUAGUGGCAUCACCAAAGGGCAACAGCGUUAAAUGCAAGAAGAGGGCUUACUUCUAUUUUAGGUUUUUUUUUUUUAAUAUCGAGUUGGAUGAGUCUCAUUGCUAUUUUAAGUUUUUUUUCUAUUUUUUUUGAGUUGGAUCGGGCUAUCCAAAAUGAUGAUGAUCAACAUAUCAGUUACAUUCAGAUGAGUAUAUACCGUUCGUUUCAUACCGUUUUAGACGGUACGAUACUUGAGUAUACAAAAGAAAUAUACAUAAUUAGAUUAAAAUUGAGAGAUAAUUAGUAAUAAUCUAAUAUUGUUAAGAAUUGAAAAAGGUCAUAUAUGUAUUGGAUUUGGUCCAAAUUAAGUUUUUGGAUUGCAUUAAUAUCCAAUCCCAUGUAAAAUAUUUCUUAAAUAUAAUACAAUUUAUGGCUACAAAAUAUUGCAUGUUUAGGAGACGUGAUGUAAAGAGGGCAUCUUAAUGCCAAAAACCAAGAAAUCAAUUAAAAAUUUUCCAAGAGGUAUAAAUUUAGAGAGACACACCAAAUUGAUAACAUUCAUCCUACAAAUUUAUCUCUAAACAGUGUUUUUAGAGACAUUUUUGUAUAUCCUUCUCUAACAUGUAUUCCUAUGAAGUCAGUGAUUUUUCAUAGACAUGCCUUUGUGCAAAAAAAAACAAAAAAUUUACAGAUAUUUAUUGUAAUUAAUAUUCAUCGAUUGCUGGUUACUAUGGCUAUUAGUUGAGCUCUAACAUUAGUAUCCUUUAAAACUUAUAAUGAUAUGAAUGUUACUAUUCUUUAUGGCAACAACGUAAUAUCAAAUUGCUAAUAAAUUUAGCGUUGCAAGGACAAAAGAUUCAGAGAAUUUGGACUAUGUUAAGAAUUGGUAAAAAGAAAUCGCUUUAUAGUGUUGAGGAAGAUGAAUCCAACUUGAUGUCCUCCACAGUAUCCUGUUGGCCAUGUUUAUAAAUUAGAGAGAGAGAAAAAAAAAAAAAUCUUCCAUGAACAAAAGGUUAAAUUUUUUUUUUGGUGGAUAAGGUUAAAUUCUAUUUAUUCUAUUAGAUUUUUUUACAUGUUUAUUUUGGUCCCUCAUGGUGGGUAUUGAAUUUUUUUUCUUUUAUUUUUUAAUCAGGUUUUUCAUGACUAAUAGACAAUCGGAAGGAUUUCUCGUAAAUAUGAUAUCUCGAGAACUUUGAUAUAUCGACUUAAAUUUUUUUUAGAUGGAUUAAUAACAAUUCAUGUGUGAUAUAAAAAAAAUAUUUUCACAUUCUUAAGUACGAAAAGAGUCAUGUAACAUAUGUCUAAUCUCAGUCGUAUUUAGGUUGAUAAAAUUUGAUACGAUAAAACAAUAUACCUUCAAGUUCUUUAGUAAAUAUUUUUUUAAUCUAUUUUUCUAAUUGUUCUUCUUACAUAUUAUUGACAUAUGAAUUGUUUUCUUUUCUCCUCUUUUUAUUAUUGGGUUUAUAUUCUCAAACAAGUGAUAUCCGAGCAUCCAUAUCCUUAUUCACAUAUCAUGAUCGAUUUUUUCUUGUUUGGUGACUCGUAGCAUCACUCUUCCAAAAGCAUUAACAUUUUCUUGAUGAUGUACUUACUCUUUCUUUUCUAGUGUCAUCUUUUUUGGCUGCACCAUAAACCAAGAACAUGACAGACAAUACUAUUAUUCAUGAACAAGCAAGAUGGGACUGUUUAUGCAUUGACAUUCUUUUGGAGAUAUUUGAAACCCUGAAUAUGAUCGAUCGGUGUACGGUAGCUCAAGUUUCUCACUCAUGGCGAAUGACUUGUUUCGAUUCAUCACUCUGGAGAACGAUCGAUCUCCGGAUUCUAUGGUCCGACCUUCUUAUAAGGGUGGACACUGAGCUCAGGUUGUCACAAGCACUGAUGACUAUAGUAGCUUAUGGUCAUGGAAACAUCACCAGCAUUGUGUUCCAUCCCAACUUACCUACAAAGGAUGAGCACUUGAACAUCAUCAGUCGAGGGUAAAUUACACAUUCAUAUUAGCUUCUUCUUCUUCUUCUUCUUCUCUACCUUAUUCCCUUAUAAUCUGAUGGGUUAUACGUAUAUAGAUGCCCUCAUCUUAAAAGGCUCGUCAUGCCGUGUUGGGAUUCCAUCAGCGUAACUGCAAUGAGUGAUGCCAUAAAUAACUGGGGAGAAUUGGAAUCGAUAACCAUGCCUAGCCUUACUCCUUCCUUUCGAACCAUGCUGACUAUUGAUGGAUCUUGCGAGAGGCUCUCUCAGCUAAAGGUCGUCGGUGUCGUUCAUGAUGGAUUUCUAUCAUCGCCUUUUGGAAACUUCCCCUUCGAGCUGAAGGUGUUGAGCUUGCAAUGUUGCUUGGUGCCCUUGGGAGGUCUACUGACAAUAAUGGACAUGCAUCUUCAUCUCGAGGUGCUUAAUCUGUCACACGUACUAUUGCAUCUUGAUGAGCGUAUGAAUCCCGUACCACUGAUGAAAUUGUUCGACAACCCAGUAGGCAUGUUGAUUCUUGAGAAAGCUUUCAGGUUGAGUAGCUUCUUCUACUGCGAGGACUACAAAUCAUGCAAUGAAUGCAGGAGGAUGAUGAAUGGUCACACGAGGCACAGUGAUGGUUGGUGGAGGCUGGAUGAGGUGGCCUCUUUGAAUUUGAGAGAGUCCGAUGAUAUAUAGUUUGAGUUUCUGGAUUGAAUUGAUGUCUCACAUGAUAUAUAUUAUUAUAUUUUUUGAUAUUUUGUUUGGUCAAUGUAUUAUAUUUGAUAGCAGAUAAGAUUUCUUUAACUAUAUGAGGAAAUCUCUUUAUUCUGUUAAGGGAAAUUGAAAUCCUCUAUUCCUCCUAAUGAGAACGAAGUUUCUUCAAUAAUUAUUUUCAACAAUAUUAAUCUGAUUAUAAUCAUUAAUCAUAAAAUUUGAUUUAAUAUUUUUUUCUCAAAGGCUUAAACGAUUUGAGAAAAGUAUGGAUAGAAAAUGAUUUGAUGAGAACCUAUUGAUCUUAGUAUCCGGAGGCCAAAGAUUUCCCAAUGCUUACAAGAGGAAGGGUGGAAAAAUAAGGGAGAAACUUCCAAGAACUAAUGCCAUCAUUCUAAUCGACCAAACAAUGGAAAACGAAUGAGCAACUACAAAUGUCUCCCCAUCGCCUUCUAAAACCUACACAUUUUAGAUUCCUCCCCCAAUAUCACCAUCUAAAAGCUAUUAUCUGACCAUUUCUACCUUCUUAAUUAUCGAUGUUGACAUUUAGAUUUAUGUAAGGUUGCAUUAUUUGUAAAGUUUUAAUAUGUCGGAAUCUUAAUUAUUUGUAUCAUAAGUAAUUUUGUAUACUUCAAAUAUUAGCCUAAUGAUGAUAUAUUAGAUCCAUUUUAUAUCGAUCAAAAAUUUAAAAUAUCAUUUAAUUAAUUUUUUAACAUAAAAUAUUUUCCUAAUAAUGAUGUAUCAAAUCCAUUUGAUAUAAUGAUACAUCUAAAAUAUUGAUAUAAUGAUAGUAUGUUUGACCCACGUAUCUAUGACAUUUUCCGUUAUCAUCGAAAUUAAGAGUUCGAAACCUUAUUCCAAUAAUUUUUAAGAUGUCAAUUAGUUUACCUAAUAAAAUUUUUGACUAUAUAGUAAGAUGUUGACUUCAAUUCCAUUUUCAUUACUUAUUCUUUAUAAUAAAAAAAAUAAAAUAUAAUUGAUCUUAUUAAAUACACACAUGCCUGAAAAUAUAUAUAUAUAUAUAUAUAUAUAUAUAUAUAUAUAUAUAUAUAUAUUUAUAUAUAUCCGAAUCCCUGUUUUUUUAGGUUGAAAGUUGGAAUCAAAUUAGCCGUCUGCAUCAACUUUGUGUCCCAUCGCUUUCUCUUCCCUAUGAUUGAGAGAUCUCUACAGCUUGAAGGUGUUCAGUCAUUAGUUGAUGCGGCUGCAUUAAUCACUGCAAACAUUUAUAAGUAGUGAAAUGAGAAGAAGAAGAAGAAGAAGACGUCAAGCAACUCUUAAACUGGACUAAUCCAUCCAUCUAUUGCCGGAGAUUUUAUUGUUUAAUCUGCUUUUAUUUUUAGGUUCUAUAAUUAAACCACCCGUAUAAUGACAAGAUUACUCAGAAUUUAGAGCCUUGAUGCUGAAGGAUAUUGUAAUGAUUCGAUUCAAUUCGAGAGUGGAUUAAGUCUUAAACAGAUGAUUUAAUACUAUUAUUUAUUUGAGCUUAUGUAUUUUGAGCUAAUGAUUUAGUUUUAAUAAGAUUUUAGAUGUAUUGUUUUUUAAUACCUUAGAAAGAGUCAUGCUAUCUUAGAAAGAGUACU